ACGCUAGCUACAGGCUUAACACAUGCAAGUCGAGGGGCAGCGGGUUGAAAGCUUGCUUUCAAUGCCGGCGACCGGCGCACGGGUGCGUAACGCGUAUCAAACCUGCCUCAUACUCGGGGAUAGCCUUGCGAAAGUAAGAUUAAUACCCGAUGUUGUUGCUUUCUCGCAUGGGAGAGUAACCAUAGAUUUAUCGGUAUGAGAUGGUGAUGCGUCCGAUUAGGUAGUAGGCGGAGUAACGGCCCACCUAGCCUUCGAUCGGUAGGGGUUCUGAGAGGAAGGUCCCCCACACUGGAACUGAGACACGGUCCAGACUCCUACGGGAGGCAGCAGUGAGGAAUAUUGGUCAAUGGGCGAGAGCCUGAACCAGCCAAGUAGCGUGCAGGAUGACGGCCCUCCGGGUUGUAAACUGCUUUUAGUUGGGAAUAAAAAAAGGGACUUGUCCCUUCUUGUAUGUACCUUCAGAAAAAGGACCGGCUAAUUCCGUGCCAGCAGCCGCGGUAAUACGGAAGGUCCAGGCGUUAUCCGGAUUUAUUGGGUUUAAAGGGAGCGUAGGCGGAUUGUUAAGUCAGCGGUUAAAGGGUGUGGCUCAACCAUGCAUUGCCGUUGAAACUGGCGAUCUUGAGUGCAGACAGGGAUGCCGGAAUUCGUGGUGUAGCGGUGAAAUGCUUAGAUAUCACGAAGAACUCCGAUCGCGAAGGCAGGUGUCCGGGCUGCAACUGACGCUGAGGCUCGAAAGUGUGGGUAUCAAACAGGAUUAGAUACCCUGGUAGUCCACACAGUAAACGAUGUAUACUCGCGGUUUGCGAUAGAUUGUAAGCCGCCAAGCGAAAGCAUUAAGUAUACCACCUGGGGAGUACGCCGGCAACGGUGAAACUCAAAGGAAUUGACGGGGGCCCGCACAAGCGGAGGAACAUGUGGUU
This 920-nucleotide ribosomal RNA is filed under the name uncultured bacterium. Its description in RNAcentral is "bacterial SSU rRNA". It matches the Rfam family "Bacterial small subunit ribosomal RNA", at positions 33 to 946 of the family's 1533-position model. The record is from RNAcentral.